RNAcentral lists this ribosomal RNA (501 nucleotides) under uncultured bacterium. Its description in RNAcentral is "bacterial SSU rRNA". It matches the Rfam family "Bacterial small subunit ribosomal RNA", at positions 26 to 518 of the family's 1533-position model. The record is from RNAcentral.
AGGAUGAACGCGUAGCGGCAGGCUUAACACAUGCAAGUCGAGGGGCGAGCGGGAUGUAGCAAUACAUUGCCGGCGACCGGCGGAUGGGUGCGGUAACGCGUAUGCAACCUACCUUAUACAGGGGAAUAACCUUUCGAAAGGGAGACUAACACCCAUGGUAUUGAUUUAAGGCAUCUUAGAUUAAUUAAAUAUUUAUAGGUAUAAGAUGGGCAUGCGUAUGAUUAGCUAGUUGGUAAGGUAACGGCUUACCAAGGCGACGAUCAUUAGGGGUUCUGAGAGGAAGGUCCCCCACACUGGUACUGAGACACGGACCAGACUCCUACGGGAGGCAGCAGUGAGGAAUAUUGGUCAAUGGGCGCAAGCCUGAACCAGCCAUGCCGCGUGCAGGAAGACGGCCUUAUGGGUUGUAAACUGCUUUUACAUAAGACUAACCGUAUAUUUGCGAAUAUACCUGAAUGUAUUAUGAGAAUAAGGAUCGGCUAACUCCGUGCCAGCCGCCGC